RNAcentral lists this ribosomal RNA (468 nucleotides) under uncultured bacterium. Its description in RNAcentral is "partial 16S ribosomal RNA". It matches the Rfam family "Bacterial small subunit ribosomal RNA", at positions 28 to 507 of the family's 1533-position model. The record is from RNAcentral.
GACGAACGCUGGCGGCGUGCUUAACACAUGCAAGUCGAACGGAAAGGCCCUGCUUUUGUGGGGUUCUCGAGUGGCGAACGGGUGAGUAACACGUGAGUAACCUGCCCUUGACUUUGGGAUAACUUCAGGAAACUGGGGCUAAUACCGGAUAGGAGCUCCUGCUGCAUGGUGGGGGUUGGAAAGUUUCGGCGGUUGGGGAUGGACUCGCGGCUUAUCAGCUUGUUGGUGGGGUAGUGGCUUACCAAGGCUUUGACGGGUAGCCGGCCUGUGAGGGUGACCGGAGAAAGUGGGACUGAGAGACGGAACAGAAUACUACGGGAGGCAGAAGUGGGGAAUAUAGAAGAAUGGGCGGAAGCCUGAUGCAGAAACGCCGCGAGCGGGAUGAAGGCCUUCGGGUUGUAAAACGAUUUGGCAUGUGACGAAGCGAGAGUGACGGUAAUGGGUAAAGAAGCAACGGCUAACUACGUG